GCCAUCCCUCCCCUGCCAACUCCAUGGGGGGGGUCUCAUGACUUGUUCUCACUCAUCACUCAAUUUCCAGAGCCUAGACAGUGCCAGUACAUGUUACGGGUUUAAUUAAAUUUUUUUUGAAUCAAUUACAUUUUAAAAAUUUAUUUAUUUAUUGACUAUUUUUAUUUUAUUAUUUUUUUAGAGACAGGCUCUCUAUGUUGCCCAGGCUGGAGUGCAGGGGCUACUCAACAGGCACGAUCCCACCACUGAUCAGCACAGGAGUUUUGACCUGCUCCAUUUCCAACCUGGGCCUGUUCACACCACCUUAGGCAACCUGAUGGUCCUCCGCUCCCGGGAGGUCACUGUAUUGAUGCUGAACUUAGUGUGGACACCUGAUUGGCAUAGCGCACUACAGCCCAGAACUCCUGGGCUCAACCGAGAUCGGAAGAGGACAC
Molecule: long non-coding RNA, 434 nt
Organism: Sapajus apella (tufted capuchin)
Lineage: Eukaryota; Metazoa; Chordata; Mammalia; Primates; Cebidae
Exons: 3
Source: RefSeq, a predicted model, not a curated record